UACGUAGGGACCGAGCGUUGUCCGGAUUCAUUGGGCGUAAAGAGCUCGUAGGCGGCCACUCAAGUCGAAUGUGAAACCUCGAGGCUUAACCUCGAGCCUGCAUUCGAUACUGGGCGGCUAGAGUCUGGUAGGGGGAUCUGGAAUUCCUGGUGUAGCGGUGGAAUGCGCAGAUAUCAGGAGGAACACCGGUGGCGAAGGCGGCAUCCUGGACCGACACUGACGCUGAGGAGCGAAAGCCAGGGGAGCAAACGGG
RNAcentral lists this ribosomal RNA (253 nucleotides) under uncultured bacterium. Its description in RNAcentral is "partial 16S ribosomal RNA". It matches the Rfam family "Bacterial small subunit ribosomal RNA", at positions 524 to 776 of the family's 1533-position model. The record is from RNAcentral.